GACGAACGCUGGCGGCGUGCCUAAUACAUGCAAGUCGAACGCACAGUUUAUACCGUAGCUUGCUACACCAUAAACUGUGAGUUGCGAACGGGUGAGUAACGCGUAGGUAACCUGCCUGGUAGCGGGGGAUGACUAUUGGAAACGAUAGCUAAUACCGCAUAAUACUGAUUAUUGCAUGAUAAUUGAUUGAAAGAUGCUAUUGCAUCACUACCAGAUGGACCUGCGUUGUAUUAGCUAGUAGGUGAGGUAACGGCUCACCUAGGCGACGAUACAUAGCCGACCUGAGAGGGUGAUCGGCCACACUGGGACUGAGACACGGCCCAGACUCCUACGGGAGGCAGCAGUAGGGAAUCUUCGGCAAUGGACGAAAGUCUGACCGAGCAACGCCGCGUGAGUGAAGAAGGUUUUCGGAUCGUAAAGCUCUGUUGUAAGAGAAGAACGGGUGUGAGAGUGGAAAGUUCACACUGUGACGGUAUCUUACCAGAAAGGGACGGCUAACUACGUG
Molecule: ribosomal RNA, 505 nt
Filed under: uncultured bacterium
Lineage: Bacteria
Description: partial 16S ribosomal RNA
Rfam family: Bacterial small subunit ribosomal RNA
Source: RNAcentral